RNAcentral lists this ribosomal RNA (427 nucleotides) under uncultured bacterium. Its description in RNAcentral is "partial 16S ribosomal RNA". It matches the Rfam family "Bacterial small subunit ribosomal RNA", at positions 355 to 774 of the family's 1533-position model. The record is from RNAcentral.
UGGGGAAUAUUGGACAAUGGGCGAAAGCCUGAUCCAGCCAUGCCGCGUGUGUGAAGAAGGUCUUCGGAUUGUAAAGCACUUUAAGUUGGGAGGAAGGGCAGUAAGUUAAUACCUUGCUGUUUUGACGUUACCAACAGAAUAAGCACCGGCUAACUUCGUGCCAGCAGCCGUGGUAAUACGAAGGGUGCAAGCGUUAAUCGGAAUUACUGGGCGUAAAGCGCGCGUAGGUGGUUUGGUAAGAUGGAUGUGAAAUCCCCGGGCUCAACCUGGGAACUGCAUCCAUAACUGCCUGACUAGAGUACGGUAGAGGGUGGUGGAAUUUCCUGUGUAGCGGUGAAAUGCGUAGAUAUAGGAAGGAACACCAGUGGCGAAGGCGACCACCUGGACUGAUACUGACACUGAGGUGCGAAAGCGUGGGGAGCAAACA